UACGUAGGGGGCAAGCGUUGUCCGGAAUCAUUGGGCGUAAAGCGCGUGUAGGCGGUCCGGUAAGUCCGCUGUGAAAGUCCAGGGCUCAACCCUGGGAUGCCGGUGGAUACUGUCGGGCUCGAGUCCGGAAGAGGAGUGUGGAAUUCCUGGUGUAGCGGUGAAAUGCGCAGAUAUCAGGAGGAGCACCAAUGGCGAAGGCAGCACUCUGGGACGUGACUGACGCUGAGACGCGAAAGCGUGGGGAGCAAACAGG
This 253-nucleotide ribosomal RNA is filed under the name uncultured bacterium. RNAcentral's name for it is "partial 16S ribosomal RNA". It matches the Rfam family "Bacterial small subunit ribosomal RNA", at positions 524 to 776 of the family's 1533-position model. The record is from RNAcentral.